UAGACAAACAGUAGAAUGGCCACUUUCAACAUCAUUUCCUCAAAUUUUUGCCCUGCUAGUGCUGCCCCAGUUAACUAAAAGUGCUGUUAUUAUGAAGUGGAAACGUCUAGGAGCAACAACAACGGCUCAGCCACAAAGUGUUAGGCUACACAAGCUCACAGAACGGGACCUGAGUGCUGAAGCGCCUAGAGUGUAAAAAUCGUCUGUCCUCGGUUGCAACACUCACUAUCGAGUUCCAAACUGCCUCUGGAAGCAAUGUCAGCACAAGAACAGUUCGUCAGGAGCUUCUUGAAAUUGGUUUCCAUGGCCGAGCAGCCACACACAAGUAUAAAGCUCACUGCCAUUGGACUGAAGCAGUGGAAAUCAGUUCUCUGAAGUGAUGAAUCACACUUCACCAUCUGGGUUUGGCGGAUGCCAGAUCGCUACCUGCCCCAAUGCAUAGUGCCAACUGUAAAGUUUGGUGGACGAGGAAUAAUUGUCAGGGGCUGUUUUUCAUGGUUCUAGUCCCCUUAAUUACGGUGAAGGGAAAUCUUUACACUACAGCAUACAAUGAUAUUCUAGAUCAUUCUGUGUUUCCAACUUUGUGGCAACAGUUUGGGGAAGGCCCUUACCUGUUUCAACAUGACAAUGCCCCUGUGCACCAAGCGAGGUCCAUACAGAAAUGGUUUGUCGACAUGGGUGUGGAAGAACUUGACUGGCCUACACAGCCCUGACCAACCACAUCGAACACCUUUGGGAUGACGCCGACUGCGAGCAAGGCCUAAUCGCCCAACCUCACUAAUCCUUGUGGUUGAAUGGAAGCAAGUCCCUGCAGAAAUGUUCCAACAUCUUGUGGAAAGCCUUCCCAGAAGAGUGGAGGCUGUUAUAGCAGCAAAGGGAGGACCAACUCCAUAUUAAUAUCCGUGAUAUUGGAAAGAGAUAUUCGACAAACAGGUGUCCACAUACUUUUGGUCAUGUAGUGUAUUAUGAUUUGGUAAUGGCUAUUUGUGUAAAUGUCCUGACGCAAUGUGCUAUCUAGUUGUAUAGUCUGGCUUAGUCAGCCAUACGCAGUAUCCUCGUAUUCUCUCUGCAUCCUGGCAGGGGGGGGUAUACUACACAUCAGCAACAAGGACUCUUGCCUAACUAUUGUGAAAAACUAUUUAUUUGGAAGAUAAGCUUGAAAUGGGCAUGGUCUAAUUGAAUCAAAAACACAAGUUAAGCUUUCUUCUUGAACAUGAAAAUCAAUUGUUAUUUUUGGUUGUUUUAAAUGACAUUAAAGUUCUAAAUUCCAAGGUUCUAAAUGGCAUUAAAGUUGAAAAUGAAGUGCCUUAGCAUUUUGACCUGUUAAUGCUUCCAUUCGCACUAUUAUACAAAUGCAAUUGCUGUGACACGUGUAUUGUCAUUCAAAUGUUCAGUGUGGGAGGUGGUUCUGUUAAUUGUCUUAUGGUGACGUCACGAGUACAUGUUUCUACACUUGCAGUAUCAUUUGUAAUACUCACUUUGACGUUACCAUACACUUGUCUGUUUUUUUAUCAGAGAUCACUUUGGUCACACAAGAAUGUUUAUUGAGCACAUGCCGCGUCCCAUAUGGCACCCUAUUCCCUAUAUAGUGCACUACUUUUGUAGUGGGAAUAAAUAGGAUGCAGUCUACAAGUAAAUACUUUUCAGCGAGACAGUAACUCUUCACAUAUUUUCUAUCCAGCCAUUUUGAGUCAUUCCUAUGAAUCUCCCAACUUUAAAAUAAAUGUUUCUGUAUCAAACAGAAUUUCUGUCAUUUCUUUCUUUAAAAUGAUUGAAUACAGGUUAGUAGAG
Oncorhynchus tshawytscha (Chinook salmon) is the source of this 1791-nucleotide long non-coding RNA. NCBI's taxonomy places the organism in Eukaryota, Metazoa, Chordata, Actinopteri, Salmoniformes, Salmonidae. The record is from Ensembl.